UAGGGGCACAGGGUCUAAAGAAAAAGAAAUCAAAUCUUUGGAGCCUUUCCUCAAAACCUUUUCAGGAGUGUCCUAGAAUUGUUCUCAGAGGAUUUUUCAUCAUAGAAUAAGAGAAUAUAAGAGGGCUCCUCACCUUCAAGCUUCUCUUCCGAUGUCAGUCAUGUUAAUUGGAGAUGAACGAGCAUUUGGCUGUGGUUGUGGAGAGUUAUAGAUGCUAUACACACCACGGUUUCUGCCUUGAGUUCCUGCCCUGGCUUCCCUCAGUGUAAGGCCAGCAAGCCCUGUCCUACCCAGGGUGUUUUUGGCCUUGUUUUUUAUCGCAGAAAGAAAAAGCAAAUGAAGACAGAGAUCUCCCACUUUUUCUUUGAGACAGGGUCUCUCACGGCUUGGAACAUCAU
Long non-coding RNA from Microtus ochrogaster (prairie vole), 398 nucleotides. RefSeq lists it as uncharacterized. NCBI's taxonomy places the organism in Eukaryota, Metazoa, Chordata, Mammalia, Rodentia, Cricetidae. The record is from RefSeq and is a predicted model, not a curated record. The transcript is spliced from 3 exons.